AACGAACGCUGGCGGCAGGCCUAACACAUGCAAGUCGAGCGCCCCGCAAGGGGAGCGGCGGACGGGUUAGUAACGCGUGGGAAUGUACCCUUUUCUACGGAAUAGCCUCGGGAAAACUGAGAUUAAUACCGUAUACGCCCGGUAACGGGGAAAGAUUUAUCGGAGAAGGAUCAGCCCGCGUAAGAUUAGAUAGUUGGUGGGGUAAUGGCCUACCAAGUCUACGAUCUUUAGCUGGUUUGAGAGGAUGAUCAGCAACACUGGGACUGAGACACGGCCCAGACUCCUACGGGAGGCAGCAGUGGGGAAUCUUAGACAAUGGGCGCAAGCCUGAUCUAGCCAUGCCGCGUGAGUGAAGAAGGCCUUAGGGUCGUAAAGCUCUUUCAGUGGGAAGAUAAUGACGGUACCCACAGAAGAAACCCCGGCUAACUCCGUGCCAGCAGCCGCGG
This 446-nucleotide ribosomal RNA is filed under the name uncultured bacterium. RNAcentral describes it as "bacterial SSU rRNA". It matches the Rfam family "Bacterial small subunit ribosomal RNA", at positions 29 to 520 of the family's 1533-position model. The record is from RNAcentral.